RNAcentral lists this non-coding RNA (31 nucleotides) under Mus musculus (house mouse). Lineage: Eukaryota; Metazoa; Chordata; Mammalia; Rodentia; Muridae. The record is from RNAcentral.
UAGACAGAUUGAUUCUUAAACACCUACUCCC